This 253-nucleotide ribosomal RNA is filed under the name uncultured bacterium. RNAcentral describes it as "partial 16S ribosomal RNA". It matches the Rfam family "Bacterial small subunit ribosomal RNA", at positions 524 to 776 of the family's 1533-position model. The record is from RNAcentral.
UACGUAGGGGGCAAGCGUUAUCCGGAUUUACUGGGUGUAAAGGGAGCGUAGGUGGUUCGGUAAGUCAGAGGUGAAAGCCCGGAGCUCAACUCCGGAAUUGCCUUUAAGACUGCAUCGCUCGAAUCAUGGAGAGGUGAGUGGAAUUCCGAGUGUAGAGGUGAAAUUCGUAGAUAUUCGGAAGAACACCAGUGGCGAAGGCGACUCACUGGACAUGUAUUGACGCUGAGGUGCGAAAGCGUGGGGAGCAAACAGG